RNAcentral lists this ribosomal RNA (468 nucleotides) under uncultured bacterium. RNAcentral's name for it is "partial 16S ribosomal RNA". It matches the Rfam family "Bacterial small subunit ribosomal RNA", at positions 28 to 507 of the family's 1533-position model. The record is from RNAcentral.
GACGAACGCUGGCGGCGUGCUUAACACAUGCAAGUCGAACGGAAAGGCCCUGCUUUUGUGGGGUGCUCGAGUGGCGAACGGGUGAGUAACACGUGAGUAACCUGCCCUUGGCUUUGGGAUAACUUCAGGAAACUGGGGCUAAUACCGGAUAGGAGCUCCUGCUGCAUGGUGGGGGUUGGAAAGUUUCGGCGGUUGGGGAUGGACUCGCGGCUUAUCAGCUUGUUGGUGGGGUAGUGGCUUACCAAGGCUUUGACGGGUAGCCGGCCUGAGAGGGUGACCGGCCACAUUGGGACUGAGAGACGGCCCAGACUCCUACGGGAGGCAGCAGUGGGGAAUAUUGCACAAUGGGGGGAAGCCUGAUGCAGCAACGCCGCGUGCGGGAUGACGGCCUUCGGGUUGUAAACCGCUUUCGCCUGUGACGAAGCGUGAGUGACGGUAAUGGGUAAAGAAGCACCGGCUAACUACGUG